CUCAAGCAAUAAAAAUAAACUUGUUUUAAGUUGAUGCAUACAAAUGUGCUUUAACAAUUAUGCUUUACAAUGCUUAUAAUGACAUGAUCCGUUUUUAGUAACCGUAACAUCGGAGAUGUUACAAAGCACCUCGCUUACACCUAUACUACAACUCUCACCUAUAGCGUCCUAUAGAUUAGAAUACUCAAAAGAGUUGUGAACCAGAACAUACAUAAUUAGUAAUUGCAUAAUGAAUUAGAAGUAGAUUACCAGAGUCUUCCCAUGAGCAAGCUUGAUUAGAGCUUGAUCAUGACGAAGUACAACCGGAUGAAGAACCGAUAGGCCGGCCUCUCCUCUAAUCCUCCUUCGCUCACCAUCUUGCUACUAUCUAGAUCUACUUUAGUUUAGAGAAGAAAGGAGAGCUCUCAUCUCUAAACCCUAGCUUUUGCUCUGUCUAUGAAUAAUGAAUAAUGAUCAAGGGGUGCCUCCUCCAGGGGCCAGGGGGUCUGGUUAUAUAGUCCCCUCAAGUGAACAUGGGCCGUCGGAUCAAACCGACAUUGAUUGAACGGUUAUUCUUGAUCCUUUAGGUCGGUGGAGAUCUCCCGAGAGAAAGAGUCCUAAUUGGGCUCCAAGUCAGGGCGGGCGCCCUGCCUGUGGCCCCGUUCGGCCUCCGCUUCCUUCCCGUGGCUUCUGGAGUCUUCUAGAUGUAAGAUAAUUGCGCGACACGUUAAUAUCUCUAUGUAAUCCGCGACACGUUAAUAUCUCUAUGUAAUCCCGACGUGUGGGUCCUGAUAACCCCCUCCAGAAAUAGACAAACACCAAAACUCAUGGAAUUCUGUCACAUAAAACCCUAAGUCUAGAUGUUGAUUUCAUUUGGAUCCUUUUCUUUGUUUAUUUGAUAAAUAAAUUUGAUACUUAAGGACCGUCAACAAACUCCCCCAAGCUUACCUCUUGCUGGUCCCUGAGCAAGGAUAUACUCAGCAAUGGAUCAGAAGUUAUUGCAAUAUCUUAAAAAUUUGAUGGUACACAUGCUUUUAAAUAAAAUCUCAUCUCUGAGUUAGAGUAAACUGUCAAGAACUACAACUUACUUACUUUACCUUUCACCAUGGGACUUGUAACCGUCACUUCUGUCUUGAGUAGUUAAAAGAUAGAACAGUCUAGCCAAGUGCCAUGUCUCUUAUUCUUGAUCAGCUAUAGCUAUGGAGUUUUUGCAGAUUUUCAAAUAAAACUCAGAGAUUCCUUGUAUGACUCUCUAAAUCUCUCUUUUGUGGUAUUUCUGGAUCCUUACCAAGGCAGUGAUGGUAUAUGCCUUCUCUCAAGAUAUGUGGUAUUUGUGGUAUAAGGCAUGGUGACAUUGCCUUCUCUCUCACCCUACUCUAAUAAGGCUUUAAUAUCUGGAGUUCAUAGGUGGGAGAUAAAGUAUACAUACUUACAAGACAUUUUUUGUAUAGUCAAACCAUGGAUCCAAAGAAACAAAUCAAUAAACCAAAUCAAGAUGUGCAUGUGUGGUGAAUGAAUGGUGUAUGGUGAUGAUGGUGAUAACAAUGGUGAAAGUAUAAUUCUACUUUUGCUCUUUUGAGGGGAUACAUACCUCCCUUGCUUUUUGAAACUUUAUGAGGAGAAUGAGAUACUCUUCUUUUUCUUUCCUCUCAGGUGGGUAUCUUGUACCCCUAAUUCUACUGUCGGACACUUGUCCAUUUUUACUUCUCGUCUCACAUUUUCUUUCUUUCGAGGUUCCGGGCACUUGCCCCUUUUUAUUUCCUCGUUUAUUAUUUUUUUUCUUUUUUUUUCUUUUUUUUUCAGAGCACUCAUCUCUUGAGAUAAUAUAGCAAGUGGUAGUAGCAAGAUAACUUGAGCAUUUAUUUCACAAGGAAAAAUAGAAAUAUUUUUUGUUAUUCUCUCCCUGAUUAGGAGUAGAAUAUUUUUGGGUGGUCCUGGAGAUGGAAAUGAGUGGAUAUAUGUGGAUGGUACUUCCGGAGUAGAAGUAGCAUAUAUGAGUGAAUGUGCAAGUGAAAUCUUGAUUUAACCACAUGACAAGCUCCUAAGGGUCUACAUAGCUUGACCACACUAAAUGCUCAUAAGCAGUAAAUAGUAAAUGUGUGGCUCAAAGUCUAGCAAGCAUGUAUAUAUGGCUGUGGUAGGAAUUUAAACUUUCAUCAUACAGGAACUCAUCAUGCAAUAUUUUAAAGAUUUUUCAAAGAUAAAAUUCUCCAGAAUUCUAGCAUCUCUACGAACAGAUAAACAGCAGCUCAACCUUCCCAUAUCAUAUCCGUUAGCAACUUAGAUUUCAGAUCAAGGUUUCAUCCCAUAAGUUUAGAUCUAGAGCAAGCUUUAAAUUAUAAUAGUUAUGUCUAAACUUGACAGAGAACUUCAAAUUUGCAAAUUAGGCAGAGCAACUAUUCAUCAUAUCCAUGCUAGAGUUUUAUUAUUAAGAUUCAGAUUAGCAUAGCCACUUUAUUUAUUUAUUAAACACACUAAGCAAAAGAUAUAUAUAUAAGCAUGAAAUCUUUAUUUGGUUUUUUAUAGUUUAUGUAUUUUAAUAUUCUAAUAUAAUAUAAGUAUAAAGAUAGGUAGAAAUACUUAGCGAGAUAAAUGGGGGUGCUCUCCUCCAAGCUGAAUUUUGACGUAAUUUCUCUUGAUGUAUCUAGCAGGUGGCAGAGGUGUAUUUGAAAGUCAGCAGCAUUCUGACAGCGAUUAGAAUGUCCUCCGUCUGCUAGUCUUCUUGAUUCUUAAAUUCUGUGGAGCUCCAAUAGACAACAAAGCUUGUGGAACUAAUUAAGUGUUAGCAUAAAUAUCUAGCCUUCAUCAUGUUGAGCUUCCUCAAUAAAUAUUACUCCCUGUUUUUAUAUUUUUAUUUAUAAAGCAGAAAAGAAAUAUUUAUUUUAUUUUUAUGCCACCACAGUGAAGGUACUUAUGGGUUUUAUGCCACUCGUAUACUCACAUGGGGCUUAGUAUUUUUUUAACAUUUUUAUUUUCUUUUCAAGAUAGCAUGAUUAACUAAUAAUCUAUUUAAGGAAAGUAAAUAAUUAAAGGGAAAAGGGAAUGCAGAAAGGAUAAAUAUGGAUAACUACUGAUCUUACCUUUCGGCGAGGGUUCAAUGUUUUAAGUCUUCUUAACAAGACUUCUCACCGUGUUCAUUCUUCAAGUGCGUCAUUUGAUUCAGGUGCGGACCUUGACGUCUGCACCUCUUGAUACGGUGUCACCCAUGUUCUUCGUUUGUCCAGGAGUUCGAAGUGCGGCGUUGGCAGUAACCUGCUCAGUGUGUUUGUGCUCGUAGAUCCAAGUCCUUCACUUGGUAGAGUCUGAUAGUUAUAAAACUCCUCCGUGUUUUACUCAAAGUGUACCUGCUCAUAGAGACAAGGCAGAGAUCAAGUGCAUGGGUCCUAUUGGUGGAAAACACCAACAGAACCUAAAGUGUAUUUGUUCUUCUAUAACCCUAAGCAUAGUGAGCAAGACAAAGUUGAUGGAUGAAAAGUUCAUGAGUGUAGCACUUAUAACAUUUGUCAGAUCAGAUCGCUCAACCUUAUGGAAAGAUAAUCUAUCUAUGUAUAUGUCUUUUUCUUUAUGUCUCUCAAUGAUUGAAUGUGUAACAUUUUAGAUCAUAUGAUUAGGAGUGUGGGAUCACAGAGGUAGUACUAAGAACAAGGAUUAAAGGACUAAACAUGUUGAAUCAGUUGGGUUGGUUAAUCUAGAGUUGUAAAUCAUACAUGUUUGUCUCUUUUAUUUAUAUGAACGCCAGAACCAAGGAGAAGCUUAUAAAAGUGAUAGUCAAGUUCUUUAAGAUGUUACCUUGCUUGAAGAGUGAUGGUACAGUAUCACCUUGUGGAAGCUUUCCUUUCUUAGCGGUUGUGCAUCGUGUUUGUGGCACCCUCCAUGGAUCAUCUCUCUAUGAUGAAUGAGCUAUGUCCUUCUUGUGUAAAUUGUUAAACUUCAUGUGUCACUCUCUUCGUCUCUGAUGUGAGUUUAUCUCAGGACUUCCCAAAUCGAUAUUGAAAGUUUUUCUGCAGGGGUUAGUCCGACAAAAAUAUACCAAUGUCUACACAAGCAGUUUUUAGUUCAAUAACCGAACUAGACUCCAUGUCUAAUCAGAUUAAGGAAGGCUGUUUAACCUAAGCACCAUGCUUAAUUUAAAAGCCAAUAGAAGUAUGUGCAGUACUUCCAAACUAACACUUACUAGUAAAUAGACAAAGGUAGCAUGACAGCAUUUAUAGAGAUCUACUCAAGUGGAGAUAAAGUAGUGUGAUUAGUAUUUAACAAAUUGAGCAUGUCUUAAAGGUAGGGACAACCAACAUAGCAACAUGGCAAAGGAUGUUUUUAUGUAAAGUACUCCCCCAAGCUUGAAUUUUGCAGAAUUCAAGUUUGGAUGAAUUUAAUUUAAUGUUGUAUGAUGAUUGGUUGGACAUACCUUGUGCUUGUCAUUCAUCCGAUCUUCUUGCUCCAAUCCUAUAAAGGUUAGUGACCAGAAUACCCGAAGGAAUAUUUUUACAAUUAUCCUUAUAUGCUCAAUACACAAGGUAAUGUUGCAAAUAAUUAAAAACUCAUGUUACGAUCUGAUCAGUGCUUAUUUUAGGAGACUAUGCUUGUCCUUGGGAAACCAUCAAUUUAUGUCGGCGAAGUGGUUUCCCUUCCAACGCUGACCUAAAGCAAGAUCAACUCAACGAGAUCUGCAAUAUUUAUUAUAGACAUAUGCAUCGACAGCCGCCCUUUUAAAGUUUUUAUAAAUAGAAAGGAAGAGGGGGUUGGAGAUCUCAAAUGUGGUGAUGUUGGAGAGACCAAUAGAUUGGGAAGAUGUUGCAUAUGAGCAUGGAGUAAACAAAGUGGCUAUGAAAUAAAUUUCAUGCUCAUUAAUGUUAUCUUCGUCUCCAAUCUGAAUGUUCACAGUUCCUCUUGGAUUGGUCUCACUUAUGUCCUCUUCUAUAGUUGGAUGAAUCCCAUCUUCAAAGGGAGUCAAGAACUCACCAUUUGAAAUUGAACCAAAGUCAGAAUUCAUUAAGGCUUCUUCCUUAUCCAUCCAUUCUACACAUUCUAGCCAUUUAGAACUUGUGAUCAGGAAAGGGGAGGUGUUAGAAUUUUCAAUAUGGCUUAGCUCUCCUUUACUUGAUGUGUCAUCCUCGACUUCUUCAUAACAGGAACCAGGACAUUCUCUAAGAGAACCAUUAUUGUGAGGAUUUGAAUUAUCCCUGCUUGAAGGUCUCUUAUGGAACUAGAAGUCUAAACCAUCAGCAUCUGAAAGAUUUAAGGUCGGAAUUCCUUCCUCCCUUGGAGAAUUUUGGGAUAUUGAUGGUUUAGGAUCGAUAGCUAAAGUUUGGAAUUGAAGUGGUUGUGAUCUGGCUAUCGAAACUUCUUCUUCUUGUCUAGAAACUGGUUCUUUCUCUUUCUCAGGGAUAUAAAUGCUAGGAAACUUUCCACUCAAUGAAUCAAUUAAAUCCCUAGCUUCACUAGCAGGUAGGUGAUAGAAGGAUCCUCUAGAGGCUGUAUUCAAGGUUUACUUAUUUUCCCUACUAAGGCCCUCAAAAAAGUGAAUUAGAAGAACUUCUUCUAGAAUAUAAAGCUUUGGGCCAGUGAGAGUAAGGUUAAUAAAGCGGUCCCAUGAUUUCCUAAGAGAUUCUUCUUCCAGUUAUCUGAAAGAAAUAAUCUCACGCCGAAGUUCUGCCACUUUAGAGAUUGGAAAAUAUUUUAAAGGAAAACUAUUAUGUAACUCCUUCCAAUCUCCAUGAACACUCCCUACUUUUAGUUUGUACCAAUGUCUAGCUUUUCCCGUUAAAGAGAACGGAAAGAGCUUCCAUUUAAGGGUCUCAUCGGACAUUCCUUCUAUACGAAGGAGGUCACAGACUCGAUAAAACUCUCUUAGGUGUGUGUAUGGGUUUUCCUCACCUUCUCCUGAGAAAGGUUGUUUUUGAACAAAUUCUAUGUAUUCGGGGUCUAUCUCAAAACUAGAGGCUAUGAUAGGCUUUGAAGAUUUCGGUGGUUCGAGAUGUGUGCCCGUAGGUCUAUGAAAUUCAUAGAUAGACAUGUUUGAAUUCAUGAUAGACCAGAGAUCAAGGAUUAGAUAAGAAGAAAGAAUAGCAGAGAUGAGGCAAAGGAUAAAAGGAAAAUAUAUAUAUAUUUUUAUUUUUUUAGAAAAUGAUUAAGCUAGUUCGUAGUCAACUCAGCAACCGUUUCCCCGGCAACGGCGCCAAAAAUGCUUGUUGACACUUGCUAACACCACUUGAAUACAAGGUUGUCAUCCCCAGCAUGGCACUAGAGUGUACUAUGGUAUUUAUACGCACACAGAUAAUCCGCAAGCGCACGGAUACCGUUGAAGCUUUUACCCGUUUAAAGGUUUUAUCGUAUCCGCAGGGAAACAGAAGAACCAAAUACGCUCUAACUUAACCAAGAUAAAUAGAUAAGUGUAAAUAGGAAAGAUGGUAGUAUUUUAGAACAAUAUUAAAGGUAAGAUAACAAUGAGUGAUAAUAUGGGAAUAGAGAGUAGAGCAAUUCUAGUAUAUGGGCGAAAGGUAACAGAAUAGAGAGGGUAACUAUGGUUUCUCUACUUCAAAGGGGUAUGUCUAUGUCUGGGACGAACCACGUGAUAAGAGUACACCACAAAGGAUGCUUAUCCUUAGGCCGAUAAACCCUACCCAUCCUGCUAACGAGAGGUGGACUACAGAGGACCAACGUAACUGUCACCUACGCGGCCUACCACACGAUCCAGCUAGACAGGUGAUAUCCACAAGUAAUCUAGAUCUAAGCACCUCACUUACACCUAUACUACAACUCUCACCUAUAGCGUCCUAUAGAUUAGAAUACUCAAAAGAGUUGUGAACCAGAACAUACAUAAUUAGUAAUUGCAUAAUGAAUUAGAAGUAGAUUACUAGAGUCAUCCCAUGAGCAAGCUUGAUUAGAGCUUGAUCAUGACGAAGUACAACCGGAGGAAGAACUGAUAGGCUGGCCUCUCCUCUAAUCCUCCUUCGCUCUCCAUCUUGCUACUAUCUAGAUCUACUCUAGUUUAGAGAAGAGAGGAGAGCUCUCAUCUCUAAACCCUAGUUUUUGCUCUGUCUAUGAAUAAUGAAUAAUGAUCAAGGAGUGCCUCCUCCAGGGGCCAGGCGGUCUGGUUAUAUAGUCCCCUCAAGUGAACGUGGGCCGUCGGAUCAAACCGACAUUGAUUGAACGGUUAUUCUUGAUCCUUUAGGUUGGUGGAGAUCUCCCGAGAGAAAGAGUCCUGAUUGGGCUCCAAGUCAGGGCGGGCGCCCAGGGCAGGAGGGCGGGCGCCCUGCCUCUGGCCCCGUUUGGCCUCCGCUUCCUUCCCAUAGCUUCUGGAGUCUUCUAGAUGUAAGAUAAUUGCGUGGCACGUUAAUAUCUCUAUGUAAUCCCGACUUGUGGGCCUUUCUUCCAUAUUUUCUGAUAACCCCCUUCAGAAAUAGACAAACACCAAAACUCAUGGAAUUCUGUCAGAUAAAACCCUAAGUCUUGAUGUUGAUUUCAUUUGGAUCCUUUUAUUUGUUUAUUUGAUAAUUAAAUUUGAUACUUAAGGACCGUCAACACUACCGAUCUAGGGAAGUGUUUUAGGGUGCUAUGUCAUGCACGCAUAUCCAGUGUGCCUGGGAAAAGUACCACAUGUGGGGGUGAUUCCGUCCUGAGAGGUGAUGCCGUCAUUAGGGCGAUGAUGUGGGUAGUGGCAUGUCACAUGCAUAGGUGCGGUACCUGUGUGUUGGGUGCUUAGUUUUAAAAUUUUUGUUCUGCAUGUUCAUACUGUGGUUGGACUGAAAUGAGUUUUCUGCAGGUACGCUAACCACGUUCUCGCAUAGAACGCUAGUCACGCUAUGAGGGAACAUUGUGUGCCACCGCAUAUACCGUUUAGUAUUGACUUUUGUUUCUAAGUUUGUGAGAUCGUAAGUUUCGUGCAUGCAUCAUGUUCAUUCCAUAUGAUUACUUAAUUCCUCCCCUUAUUCAAAUCUGUCACAAUUUCAAUUAAAAUGAUAGAAGAUAAUCCUCAGUCUUACCCAAGGUAUUCUCUUUUUAGCAGAUGUCUUGCACUAGGCUCACCGCUCGCAAGUCCACUAGUGGCUGGGCCCCUCGCCAUCAGUUGGCAACUAGGAGCUCGUGCAACAAGAGCAAGUUCCUAGGAGAGUUUGGGAUGCCUACCUUGGUGUGGAGGGUGCUCAGUUUGAUACGGUAUCCUAAAGGAAGGGAACCUCGCUACUAUUGGAAGCGAGAGUAGCUUGGUGAAGGGAUCCUAGGUAGUGAUUCCUACCAGUGGCAGUGACCCUUCCUGGGGUGGCUAGGUGUAUGAGUCCCGAGACAACAUGCUUUUCCAGCGUGCCAGCAGGGCUGCUUUUGCAGUUCUGAGGGACAUCAUGGAGAGGUUUCCACAAGAGCUAGCCCACGCCUUCAUUGGGGUGUUUCUCCGGGGUGACCCCUACACUGUGGUGUGGGAUCAGUCCGAGGGCAGUGCUCUAGAGCAGAGUGCUGAUGAGGAUCAGCACAGUGACAGUGUAGGGGUCCCCGUCGCUGUACUAUAUCUCACAGGUGACCUAUAUCUCGUAGGUGACCUAUAUCUCGUAGGUGACAGCUAACAUUCAGGUUUCCUGUCACCUGCGAGAUAUAGGUGGAUACCUGAAUGUUAGUUGUCAAUGAUAUGGUGAAAAGUAACCAAGUGUGGGAAGGAAACUGAGACCGGGCAGGGCCUUAUGGGGGUGUUGACCAUAGUGCCCCUGCCUAUUGUUGAUAUUUGAUAACGCAAUAAGGAAAUGAUCCGCAAGCGCACGGAUAUCGGUGAGCAUUUCACCCGGGAGGUUUUCUAGAGUAUCGUAUUUAUAUUUUUACCACUGGGAGAAAGGGUGCAUCUGACAAACCAAAUCUAUUGCUACUAUCCCUUUAGGCUACAAAGAAUGUUUCUCGAUGUGAGCGAUGUAUAGAGAAGACUGCAACCGUAGUCUCGUUCUAACCUUGACAAGGAUGAUCUACUGUUCUAUUGGGGAGGCUCACAUAAUCUAGACACCACAAAGGAUGUUCGACCCGCACCUAUAAACCUACCCGUCCUGCUAACGAGAUGUGGGCUGCAAAGGUAACUCGGAAAUGUCACGUUCCUCGCUACUACCACGGUCCAGCUAGUCAGGGGAUAUCUAUGAGUACCCUAGCCUAAACACCACGUUUACGCUAGCAAUGAUUACUCUAAUACUCAACCUAAAGAGAUUAAAGUAAACUCAUAAACCAAAGAACAAUAAAGCAAGAACUUACUAGAAUUAGAAGUCGAAUUACUGAAGAAUCCUAGGAGCAAGCCUCGGGUUAGAAGACUUGAUCCCGUAGGUACAACCUCAGAGUAGACACCGACAGGCCAGGCUUCCUCCGAUCUACACCUCCACUCUAUCUCUCUCAAUCUAGUAGAAAAACUAGAAGAUCUAAUUCUACUCACAUUGGAUGCUAAGCCUAAAAAGAAAUUUUAUUUAGUGGAGAGAUAUUCCUUUGAGGGCUCCUCUCAACUCUAUGAAAAACUUAUUCUGUUCCAGGGGCCAGGGGGUCUGCUUAUAUAGUCCCCUCCUUUUGUGCCUUUUUGGUUCAGCAGGCGAUGUGGUACUAAACUUUCCACCAUAUCUCAUUAAAAUGCACAUAGGCCUUAAUGGACCAAAAUCUAAUUUGGGCCCAAUUAAUCUCGCACCUCUUUUACGUAGAGUCCUUCUUUUAUUAAUAUCUCUUGAAUCCGAACUCCAAAUAUAGCAAAUAAUAUAUGCAUUUCGAUCAGCUCGAUGAGAUCUUUGUGAUGGUGUACUCCAUUAUGUGAUUAGUACUUGUACCAGGGCGGGCGCCCAAGGGGGGAGGGUGGGCGCCCUGCCCCCGGGCCCGUUCGGCCUCCCGUUCGUUCAGGUGGCUUCUGGAGUCUUCUAGAUGAUAAAAAAUUGUACGGCACGUUAAUAUCUAUAUGUAAACCCGACGUGUGGGCCUUUCCUUCAUAUUUCCUGAUAACCCCCUGUAGAAAUAGACAAACACCAAAACUCAUGGAAUUCUGUCAGAUAAAACCCUACGUCUAGGUGUUGGUUGCAUUUGGAUCCUUUUCUUUAUUUAUUUGAUGAUUAUAUUUGGUACUUAAGGACCGUCAACAACUCCCCCAAGCUUACCUCUUGCUCGUCUCUGAGCAAAGAUGAACUCAAGAGUUUCUGCAGUGGUUUCAUGCCUUAAAAGUACACAUGCAUUCAAGCAAGAUCUCAUCUCUGAGUUAGAAUAAACUGUUAGGACUUAAAACUUACUCAUUUUACCUUUCACCAUGGGGCUUGUAACCGUCACUUGUGUCUUGAGCAGUUAAAAGAUAGAACGGUCAAGUCAAGCGCCAUGUCUCUUAUUCUUGAUCAGCUAUAGCUCUGGAGUUUUUGCAGAUUUUCAAAUAAAACACAAAGAUUCCUUAUAUGACUCUCUCAAAUCUCUCUUUUGUGGUAUUUCUAGAUCCUUUCCAAGGCACUAAUAUUAUAUGCCUUCUCUCAAAGUAUGUAGUAUUUUUGGUAUGAGGCAUAGUGAUAUUGCCUUCUCUCUCAUCCUACUCUAAUAAGGUAUUGAUAUCUGGAGCUCAUAGGUGGGAGACAGAUAAUGCAUACUUACAAGACAUUUAUUGCAUAGUCAAACUAUGGAUCCAGAAGAACAAAUCAAUAAGUCAAAUCAAGAUGUGCAUAUGUGGCGAGUGAAUGGUGUAUGGUGAUGAUGGUGAUAACAAUGGUGAAAGUCUAAUUCUACUUUUGCUCUUUUAAGGGGAUACAUACCUUUCUUGCACUUUGAAGCUUUUUGAGGAGAAUGAGAUGCUCUAUAUUUUUUUCUUUUCUCUCAGGUGGGUAUCUUGUGCCCCUAAUUCUACUGUCGGACACUUGUCCAUUUUUACCUCUCGUCUCACUUUUUCUUUUCUUUCGAGGUUCCGGGCACUUGCCCCUUUUUAUUUCCUCGUAUUUUUUUUCUCUCUUUUUUUUCUCUUCUUUUUUUUAGAGCACUCAUCUCCUGAAAUAAUGUUGCAAGUGGUAGUAACCAAAAUAACUGGAGCAUUUAUUUCACAGGGAUAGGAAAAUAUUUUUGGCUAUUCUCUCCCGGAUUAGGAGUAGAAUAAUUUUGGGUGAAUCUAGAGAUGGAAAUGAGUGGAUGUAUAUGGAUGCGUACUUUCGGAGUAGAAGCAGCAUGUAUGAGUGAACGUGCAAGUGAAUCUUGAUUUUAACCGCAUGACAAGCUCCUAAGGGUCUACACAGCUUGACCACACUCAAUGCUCAUAAGCAGUAAAAAGUAAAUGUGUGGCUCAAAGUCUAGCAAGCAUGUAUAUAUGGCUGUGUUAGGAAUUUAAACUCUCAUCAUACAGGAACUCAUUAUGUGUUAUUUUAAAGAUUUUCAAAGAUAAAAUUCUCCAGAAUUCUAGCAUCUCUAGGAACAGAUAAACAGCAGCUCAACUUUCCCAUAUCAUAUCCAUUAACAACUUAGACUUUAGAUCAAGUACUCUUCCCACAAGUUCAGGUUUAGAGCUGGUUUAAAUUAUAACAGUUAUGCCUAAACUUGAGAGAGAUUUUAGUUUUAAGAAGUAGUCAUGGCAGAGCAACUAUUCAUCAUUUCCAUGUGAGAGCUUAUCAUGAGGGUUCAUAGCAAACUUUAUCUAUUUAGCAAACUAAGCAAAGAUAUAUAUAAAAGCACAAAAUCUUUAUUUGGUUUUUUUUAUGAUUAUGCAUCUUUUUAUUAUUUGAGUAAAGUAUAAACGCGAGUAGAAACACUUAGCUGGAUAAAUGGGGGUGCUCUCCCUCAAGCUCGAUUUUGAUGUAAUUUCUUCUGAUGUAGCUAGCAGGUGACGGAGGUAUAUUUGAAUGUCGGCAGUACCCUGACAGCGAUUAGGAUGUCCUCCGUCUGCUAGUCUUCUUUGAUCCUUGAAUUCUGUGGAGCUCAAAUAGACAACAAAGCUUUGUGGAACUGGUUAAGUGUUAGCAUAAAUAUCUAGCCUUUAUCAUAUUGAGCUUCCUAAUAAAUUUUAUUUAGCAGGAUCAUGCACUUAUUAUUUUUAUAUUUUUAUUGUAAGAUGAAAACAUAUUUAUUUUAUGCCACCACGAUGAAUGUACCUAUGGGUUUUAUGCCAUGAGCAUACUCACAUGGGGCUUACUAUUUUUAACAUUUUUAUUUUCUUUUUAAGAUAGCAUGAACCUCAUUAACUAGGCAAAAUAAUUGAAGGGAAAAGGGUAACUACCAAGUUUACCUCUUGGCAAGUAUAAUACCCGAUUUUAAGGACAAAACCAGAUAUACACUAUAUAUGAGUUUUAGAAGUCAAUUCUCAUAUAUAGCUACAAAUAAGGGGUAAUAUCAAAAGACAAUGCAUAAAUAUAUAACGUACUUAGUAUAAAAGAGAUAACCUUUGAUAACAAACAGCGGAUAGACAACUCCAAACUUCGGGUAUUAACUUCUCUCUACAGGAUCCAACUGACUGGUUGAUCACAAGCCUAAACUCCUCCUGAGGUUUGGGGGAAAUAGCAGGAGUGAGUCCAUGUCGAACUCAACAAGUAUAGCAACUAGAUUGUAUAGCUCCCACAAUCUCAUGACCAAUGUGACAUAAAUAAUGUAAAGCAUUAAACAAUAAACAAUGAGCAUAUUUAACACACAAGAAUCAUCAUCGUCGCAGCAAGAAUCCCCAAGGCCGCUCCUGACCGUGAGCUCGGCUAGUAUACUAGUUUUUAACCCUCUGCAGAGGUUGCACAUCUUUACCCAUGAGUCAUGAUUUACCCUUUCGCCCGAGGUAGCUAAUCUCUUAACCCCCUUCCUAGGGAGGUCGGCAGGGAUCACUAUGAAGUCUUUCAAAGGUUCGUCUAACAAGUUAGGGCCGCUUGGUUUCAUUAGUCAGUCCGUGUGAUUC
RNAcentral lists this long non-coding RNA (12811 nucleotides) under Sorghum bicolor (sorghum). Its description in RNAcentral is "long non-coding RNA (SBIC_LNC002818)". Lineage: Eukaryota; Viridiplantae; Streptophyta; Magnoliopsida; Poales; Poaceae. The record is from RNAcentral.